GAGGGUAUAACUCAGUGGUAGAGUGCAUGCUUAGCAUGCACAAGGACCUGGGUUCAAUCCCCAGGACCUCCC
Molecule: transfer RNA, 72 nt
Filed under: Camelus ferus (Wild Bactrian camel)
Lineage: Eukaryota; Metazoa; Chordata; Mammalia; Artiodactyla; Camelidae
Rfam family: tRNA
About the family: Transfer RNA (tRNA) molecules are approximately 80 nucleotides in length. Their secondary structure includes four short double-helical elements and three loops (D, anti-codon, and T loops). Further hydrogen bonds mediate the characteristic L-shaped molecular structure. tRNAs have two regions of fundamental functional importance: the anti-codon, which is responsible for specific mRNA codon recognition, and the 3' end, to which the tRNAs corresponding amino acid is attached (by aminoacyl-tRNA synthetases). tRNAs cope with the degeneracy of the genetic code in two manners: having more than one tRNA (with a specific anti-codon) for a particular amino acid; and 'wobble' base-pairing, i.e. permitting non-standard base-pairing at the 3rd anti-codon position.
Source: Rfam by way of RNAcentral